AUGCCGUCGUCGUCGCCGGCGAUGGCAACCCAGCCACCGCCGCGGCCACCGGCUCAGGAGCUCGACCUAGACGCCUUCCUCCCGUCGUCUCCCGCCUCCUCCUCAGCCUCCGACGCCGACGCCGAUCACCGCCGCGCCGUCGACGACCUGCUGCUCCUCCUCUCCUCCUCCGACUCCGAAGGCGACGACGAGCCAACCCGUACGCCCGCCACCAACCUCAAACCCCUAACCCGUAUCAAAGCCCCACCGCCGCCCCCUAAACCUUCUCCCCCAUCUCCUCUGCCAUCGCCUUCCGCUUCCCCCGGGAGAUCCACAUCCGCGUCGCCGUCGGCGACGCUCUCCUCCCUCGUCUCGAGAACCUUUUCGAGCAACGCUGCUUCCUCAUCCACCUCCUCGUCGAGGCCGCUCCCCUCGCUCUUCCGGGGUGUCCGCCCCAGCCCCAAGCCCGGCGCCGCCCUGGCCGCGGCGGCAGCCGCCUCCCGCGCCGUUCUCACCCCGCACGCGGCUGCAAUUAAGUCGCGGCGCACGGCCUCCGCGCCCAUCGAGAAGCUCCUCGACGAGGGCUCCGGCUCCGAAGCCUCGGAGGGGAUCCUUUCCACUGGAAAUUUCGAAGCAGAGAAAGUAGCUGAGAAGGUCAGUGAGGAAGUGGUUGCUAGGGUGACCGAGGAAGCUGUCGGUGGGAGUGGGGGUGAAGAAUUGGAAGAGGACAAGCAUGGGGAAGUGGGGACUGAAGAGAAUUCCGAGCCCUCCGAAUUGGUGAACCUAGGCAAUGUCGAUUCUGCUGCUGUGGAUGAGCAGGAGCAACUUGGGGGCGAGAAUUUAGCAGAAACAUAUCAAGUUGGGAGUCAAAUUGGGCUUGUUGAUGAAGAAAAUAGUGAUGAGCAACUUAGUGACGGAAAUUUGGCAGAAUCUGGUGAGAUUGUGGAUCAAGAUGGGUCAGUUUCCGAGGAAAAGACUGAUGAUGGUCUGGAAGUUGAACGUUCUGACACUGAUUUGGAAGAGCAACUGGAAUCUGAGCACAUCAUUGAUAAGGUGAUCGAAGAGAGGUUGGAGAUCAGCAGGUUGGCUGAAAAAAAUGCAGAGAAAAGGCCGAAGGUACCGAUGAAACCAUUGGAGCGGGCUGAGGAGCUUGAGAAGAGACAGGCCUCAUUUGGGCAGCACUGGGAGGAGGGAGCAGCAGCGCAACCCAUGCACCUGGAGGGGAUUGGGAAGGGGCAACCAGCUAUUGGUUACAUGCAGAUUGAUGUGGACAACCCAAUAACCCGUGCCAUGGCAUCUCCCUCUUUUAGACAGGACCAUGGCUCUCCUCAGGUCUUAGCAGUACAUAGGAGCUAUAUUGCCAUGGGCAUGUCCACUGGAUCUGUUAUCAUCGUCCCAAGCAAAUACUCCAUCCAUCAAGCUGAUGAUACAGAUGCAAAGAUGCUGUUCUUUUGGAACCAAGGUGAGAAAACCCAAUCACCAGUGACUGCCAUGUGCUUUAACCUGCAAGGGGAUCUUCUGCUAGUAGGAUAUGGUGAUGGUCAUAUGACAAUUUGGGAUGUACAGAAAGCUACUGCAGCAAAGGUCAUAUAUGGUGAGCAUACAGGAGCUGUAGUGCAUGUUUGUUUUAUCCGCCAAUCUAAAGUCAUCACUGGUGAUUCAAAAGGGCUUGUUCUUCUGCACACAUUCUCUAUUAUCCCCGUCAUUAAUCGCUUGACUGUUAAGGGAACUCAGCGCCUUUUUGAUGGAAACACUGGAAUCGUGCUCUCAGCCUGUCCUCUUCUAGCGGAUGAAUCCUUUGGUUCUGGCAACUCAUCUACGCAGGGCAACCUACCAACUUCCUCCAGUGGUGGUCUUGGGAGCAUGAUGGGAGGUGUAGUUGGAGUAGAUUCUGGAUGGAAGUUUUUCAAUGAAGGUUCUUCUCCAUUGGAGGAUGGUGUUACAGUCAUGUUCAUUAUGCAUCAACAUGCUCUUGUGGUUAGACUCCGUACCAACAUUGACCAUGUUGACCAUAUUGAGAACUUUUCUAGACCAGAAGGAGCACGCGAAGGGUCAAUUGCUUAUGCUGCAUGGAAAUACACAUCGUCCUCCACUGAUUCAUCGCCAAUUGAUGAAGAGCGAGUAUCUUGGCUUGCGCUUGCAUGGGACCGUCAAGUACAAGUUGCAAAACUUGUUAAAUCGAAGAUGAUCAGACAUAAGGACUGGAAGCUUGAUAGUGCCGCUGUUGGCAUUGCCUGGUUAAAUGAUCAGAUGUUAGCUGUCCUUAACUUGAAAGGGCAGCUCUGUUUGUUCUCAAAAGAUGGCAGUGAGCUUCGCAGGACUAUCUUUAUUCUUGAUGGUUUUGUCUUCGAUGACAGCAUACUGUACCAUACACAUUUUUCUAACAGGUUUGGCAACCCUGAGAGGCAUUUUAACAACUCAGUAGCAGUGAGAGGUGCUACAGUAUAUAUUCUUGGCCCAAGCUUUCUUACAGUUUCGCGACUUCUUCCAUGGAAAGAGCGGAUUGAAGCACUAAAGAUGGCUGGUGAUUGGAUGGGUGCACUGGACAUGGCAAUGAAGCUUUAUGACGGUCACACACAGGGUGUUGUUGAUCUUCCGAGAACAGUUGAUUCCAUAAGGGGAGCCAUAAUGCCUUAUUUAGUAGAGUUGCUGCUGUCAUAUAUAGGUUAUGUCUUUGAAUAUAUUUCAAUUGCAUUGUCAAAUCAUACUGGAAAGGGGGGAGCAAUAGAUGGCUUGAUAGAUGCCGAUAGAUCCCUGCUGACACAGAGAGAAGAACAAUAUGCUCGUGUAGGAGGGGUCGCAGUCGAGUUCUGUGUUCACAUUGGGCGGAAUGACAUCCUGUUUGAUACAGUCUUCUCUAAGUUUGUUGCUGCCCAAAGUGGAGGUAUAUUUCUGGAGGUACUAGAGCCAUAUAUAUUGAAAGAUAUGCUGGGUUCUUUACCCCCUGAGAUCAUGCAAGCUCUAGUAGAGCAUUAUAGUGGCAAAGGAUGGUUGCAGCGAGUCGAGCAAUGCAUUCUUCAUAUGGAUAUUUCAUCACUGGAUUUUAAUCAGGUAGUCAGACUGUGUCGUGAGCAUGGGUUAUAUGGUGCUCUAAUUUAUUUAUUUAACCAAGGGUUGAAUGAUUUCCGUACACCUCUAGAGGAACUUCUAUCUGUCAUCCAGAAUGCUACUCGAAAAGAUGCUACUUCUACUUGCUACAGAAUGCUUGUUUAUCUGAAGUAUUGCUUCCAGGGCCUAGCAUUUCCUCCAGGGCAUGGAACAAUUCCCCGAGCCCAGCUUCAUGCAGUGAGAAAAGAACUUCUGCAAUUCAUGCUCGAGGACUCUAAAAUGCUCACUUCUGAAGUAUUCAAGGGUUUUAGUUCUUCUUCUGGAAAAUGCCCAAACAUAUGCUAUCUAUUAUGGAUGGAUACGGAAGCUACUUUGGAAGUUGUCAAGUGUGCUUUUGCACAAGAGAAUUUUGAACCUACUUCUAGUACUCUUGAUGCAUCUGUAUCUAAGGAUGAAGAAGAUACUGAUAUUGAAAGCCCAGAUAGUCAAAAUAUUUUGUUACAAAGUGUAGUUGACACCAUCAUUCAUAUUGUUGGUUUAGAAAAUGAGGCAAUCCAUUCCGUUGUUGUGGGUACUGCUGAGUCAGAAGAAUCGGAACUUUGGCCUUCAGUGAGUGACUUCGGUCAUAUCAUUGAAUUCGUGUCCUUUUUUGUUUCCUAUAAAAGGGCAAAUGCAUCUCAAAGAGUUCUCAAGCACAUUCUUAAAUACCUCACGUCAUCCACUACAUCAUAUGAUGAUAAAAAGAUGCCACCUCAGAAAGAAGUUCUUCAGCUCUUCAACGUGGUUCCUCAAACUGACUGGAAUUCUGAUUAUGUGUUGAAUCUUUGUUUAGAUGCCCAUUUUCAUCAGGCCUGUGGCAUGAUAUAUACAGCCAGAAAUCAAAAUUUGGCUGCUUUAGAUAGUUACAUGAAGGAUACAAUGGAACCAUACCACGCAUUUAUCUUCAUCAACAAAAAGUUACUUCAAUUGGCAAGUGAUGAAGCUUUGUCGUUUCGUUCCACAGUAAUAUCUCGUUUUGCUGAGCUAGUCAAUCUAAGCAGGGAGUGUGCAUUUGUCUUGGUCAUUGAUCAUUUUCACGAUGAGAUCCAGCAAAUAUUGGCAGAGCUUCAUUCUGAUCACCGCAGCCUCUUUCUUUUCUUGAAAACUGCAAUCGAAGUACACUUGUCAGGAAAACUUGACUUCAGUGAACUUACUGCCAGAAACUAUGAAAUUGUUGAAAGUCUGUACUCUGGCGAUCUCGAAGAUUAUCUUCAGAGAUUAUCAAAUCUCCCAAAGUUGUUUGACCGCAAUCCUAUUUCUAUGACUGAUAAGUUAGUUGAACUCUAUCUGGAGCUUCUGUGUCAGUAUGAACCAAGGUCAGUUCUGAAGUUUCUGGAGACUUUCGAUAGCUACAGAUUGGAGAGGUGUUUGCUCCUUUGUCUAGAUUAUGGAGUUACAGAUGCUGCUGCAUUUCUGCAAGAGAGGGUUGGUGAUGUUGCGAGCGCGUUGGAACUUGUUCUAGCUGGACUAGAUGAGAAAGUUAACCAGUUUAUCGCUUCGGUGGAAAAUGCGUUCUCUCGGACAUCGUCAAAGAGUAUCUCUGAAAUUGAGCAACCAGACAUUGUUCUAAACAUGAGCGAGGCUCGUCCUGUGCUUGAUGUGUUACGUUCCUCCAUUGGAUUGUGCCAAAGGAAUUCACAGCGUUUAGAUCCAGAGGAGUCUCAGUUACUUUGGUUUCAACUGGUUGACAAUUUCUCAGAUCCACUGAAAAAGUUGUAUGGAAGCAAGGUUGUAAAUGGAAAAGGUUGUUGGUCCGUGGGUGGUGAAACAACAAAUGGACAUCCAACAGGCAAAGGAUUCUCACAAAAAAUGGUGAAUUCAGCUUAUCAAAGGUGUUUGAAUACUUUGCGGAGAGUUUUCUCACAAUUUGUUGGAGAGAUAAUUGAGGCAAUGGCUGGGUAUAUACCCCUGCCAGCAAUUAUGGCAAAGCUAUUAUCUGACAAUGGAAGUCAAGAGUUUGGUGAUUUUAAACUUGUCAUACAUAGAAUGCUGUCUAUGUAUCUCUACGAAAAAAGAAUACUGGAAACAGCUAAGUCAGUUAUCGAGGAUGAUUCGUUCUAUACCUUGAGCUUAUUAAAGAGAGGGGUUUGUCAUGGAUUUGCUCCACAGACUUUUGUUUGUUGUGUAUGCAACUGCUCACUUUCUAAAGAAGGUGCUAUUUCAGCAGUUCGAGUAUUCAGUUGUGGACAUGCAACACAUCUUCACUGUGAGUCUGAACAAAGCAAAUCAUCCAAUAAGGAUUUUAAAGAUGGAUGUCCAGUUUGUCUCUCAAUGAGUGACACACAAGCCCGGAACAAAUCGCCUAUAUUAGCUGAGAAUGGGCUACCCAAGUAUCCCGUGGUUGAACAUGAAGUACCAUAUGGCGUCCAUCAUAAUCACGAGACAGAUCAUGUUGAGAGAUCUCGUGGGCUUCACCAGAUGUCACGGUUUGAAAUACUGAACAAUCUCCAGAAAGGUCAGAAGUCUUUUCAUAUUGAGACUGUACCCCCAUUGAAACUUUCUCCGCCAGCCAUAUAUCAUGAAAAGAUACAAAAGAGAGUAAGUUUGGUGGGAGAAUCCAGCAGACAUUCAGUUAGAAGUGGAAAACCACAGAAAAUAUGGCACAUGAAGGAGCCAAAAUCAAAGAAAUCAGGGAAUUGGCUUCCACCAAAGUCAAGCAUAUUCAGUUCUGACAAGAAUCAAGUGCAGUAG
This 5757-nucleotide ribosomal RNA is filed under the name Triticum aestivum (bread wheat). RNAcentral describes it as "partial small subunit ribosomal RNA". The record is from RNAcentral. Lineage: Eukaryota; Viridiplantae; Streptophyta; Magnoliopsida; Poales; Poaceae.